GUUUAGAAGGUUUAAUUUUAGUUAAACUUAUUAAAAUAUUAUUUGAAUCUUUAUUUAAUUAACGAUUUAAAACAGGAAUUAGAGACUCCUCUAUUAUUUAAAAUACUAAAUAUUUAGUUUAAACUAAAAUAAUUUGGCAGCUGAUUAAUCCAGACUGGGGAUGGUGUUUAUUAAAAAGAUGAUCCGCUUAUAAAUUUACCUUUUUUAUUUAGUUGGUGUACGUCCGGUUUAUAACUUUUAAUUAUUAUUUAUAGUUAGUGUAAACUUAAAUUGUUUAAGCUAGGUCAAUGUGCUGCCUAUAAAAAGGUUUAUUAUUCCAUACAUUUAAAACAUAAAAUUGUAAAAUAAUAUUGAGGACUAGUCAGUAAAGAAAUUAAAAUU
Molecule: ribosomal RNA, 381 nt
Filed under: Neobenedenia melleni
Lineage: Eukaryota; Metazoa; Platyhelminthes; Monogenea; Capsalidea; Capsalidae
Description: partial 12S ribosomal RNA
Source: RNAcentral